GCCGCUGCAUGUCUGCGCGGACCUGCCCGGAACGGCGGCGCGACGGCGCUCAGGUCCCCCCGGGGUCCCGCUCCAGCCCCCGCUCCCAGCCCCCGUCCUCUCUGGCCUCCUCACUCCGCCGCCCAGUAAAUCCUCCCCUCGCCUCCUCCUCCCCAGACCUCGCAGGCUCCAGGGUGGGGGCUCACACUCGGACGAUCAGCCAGCCGCCCGGGCGCCCCGACGGCCAGGGACGGAGACGGGGCGGAGACCCCCACUGACCCCGGCCGCUGCUUCUUGCCUCCCGUCCCCAGACCCCACCCUGCCCCCAUUGCUUCCCCAAAGGUCCACCUCAUUCUGGGAACCGUGAAGACAGCAGCCUACCUCCUCGCCCUCCCUGCCAGCUGAACUCAACCUGGCUCCCCUCACAGCAGCCUCUGCAGCCAGCCACCGGAGGGCAGCUACCAGCCAGCCAAAGCCCCAGCCCCUUCCCACGACCUCCUCACCCAGGCUCCCCCGGGUGCCCCGCCCUGACUCACGGCCCCGGCCCAGGGUCCUGGGGGUGCUGGCCGGCCUCGCUGGGGCCCCACUCGGGGGAAAGGUGAGGCCAGAUCAUGGCGACAGGCCCCUUGGGCUCAGUGGCUGGAGGAAUGGGGUGGCCAGGUGGGGCUGGAAGACCCUCCAGCCGCUGGUCCUGGCCGAGGCUAACAGUGGCCCAAGGUCAACAUGCCGGCCCUGAUGGACAGCUCGGAACACUCCAGACCCUCCCCUCUUGCCAGACACGAAGGUAGCCACGCCGAGACCCCAGCGUCAACCCCAGCCCCAGGCCACAUCCACAGGCAGAGCCACGGGAGACCAGGCUGGGAUGGGGAUGACGCUUGGGAACCCACCAGGGACCCCGGCUGCCCCCUCGCCCUCCGGGCUCUCAGGCACUGACUGGCAUCUCCAGAGAGCACUGUGGAAGCCUCCCGGCCCCGUGUCCGCUCGUGAAGGUGGUGGAGGACCCUGGGGACACGGCACAGCGCCCACACAGUACCAGCCCUGCUGGACCCCCGCAGACACCCUGACACCCCCCGGCCCUGGAAAAAUGGCAAAGGACCACGGUGCCC
Molecule: long non-coding RNA, 1085 nt
Filed under: Homo sapiens (human)
Lineage: Eukaryota; Metazoa; Chordata; Mammalia; Primates; Hominidae
Description: HSALNT0289701
Source: RNAcentral